GGGACACUAACGUAUCAUACCCGAUAUCGAUAAAACUGGAAUGAAGCUGAAAUUAAUUCACGAGAAAAUAUCCUGGAUAUGUUCAACACGUACGCGGCCAUUUUGUCUUCACAUGGGAUGUAAGACUAUAAUUGUACCAUCAAACUCUAUGAUUGUUGCAUCCCAAAACAUACCACCAUGGAACAUGACUUGGCUUGUUGUGCAACCUGAAACAACCUUCGUUUCAGGUUGUUUCAUAGGAACAACCUGAAAAUAAAUUACCAAACACUGCUGCUCUGCAGUUUGACCCAAAGCUGACUGCCGAGGACAACAGUAAAACUGGCUUCGUUAUGCUCCAGAACAGGAGGAAGGCAUCAAGGAUCUAAAGUGACACCAACCAGAGUCAAACUUGGAUUACCACAACUCAUACUGUUUCCCUGGUUCAUAGAGUACCAGGCUUAACAUCAUGGAUGCUGUUCUUCCAUGGACAAUAGAAUUUUGUUCUGUCAGCCAAGAAGGAGUCAAAUAUGUUUACAUUUCUUACCUGUUUUUCUAAAUAAAUUGCAAUAUUAAUGCCAUGUUGUAAAAUCUAAGUUUGUGUACACACCUUUUUGGAAAUAUGGUAAUGUAAGAUAAUUUUGAACAAGAUAAUACCCAUUAUCUGCCAACACAAUUGUGUGUUUAACACCAGUGAAGAAACUUUUAAUGGUAUGUUAUGAUGUAGCCCUAUCAGACCAAAAAAUGUACAUGGAUCAAUAUUCAUUCUUUAACUUUUAUUCAAUACAAAAUCAACACAAACGUGCAUGUAGAUCCAAAUUCAGAUGAUGGUUGAAUCAACAUUGACUAGUUUGAUCAGUUGAUCAGUUAUGGUUGAAACCCUAAUGUUGAUUCAACAUGUAAGUCAGGCUUCAACGUGAAUUCAAUGUUUCUGUCUGACUAUAUUUCAACAUUGAUUCACUCAUACUUUGCUAUCUGGAAUAUGUAUUCUUGAUGUCUGUCCAUUUAGUGCAGAAUUAGCUUCAGAUUCCUUAUCUGACUAUUAUUAUCAACUAUUAUUUAUUGCUUUUUGUGGUUGGUUUUCUAUAUCUAUACCAAUUACAACGUAAACCAUUAGAAGACAAGAUGAUUAUGUGUGGGAGAAUUUAAGCUGGAACUGAAUUGGAAACGGGCUUCUGCCCUCUAACACUGUGACAGUGGAGUGAUUUAAAGAGCAGUUGUGAAAUAAAAUAAAGUUCCUUAAAACAUGUCA
Long non-coding RNA from Xiphophorus couchianus (Monterrey platyfish), 1228 nucleotides. RefSeq lists it as uncharacterized. NCBI's taxonomy places the organism in Eukaryota, Metazoa, Chordata, Actinopteri, Cyprinodontiformes, Poeciliidae. The transcript has 3 exons. The record is from RefSeq and is a predicted model, not a curated record.